Molecule: long non-coding RNA, 3135 nt
Organism: Lytechinus pictus (painted urchin)
Lineage: Eukaryota; Metazoa; Echinodermata; Echinoidea; Temnopleuroida; Toxopneustidae
Exons: 2
Source: RefSeq, a predicted model, not a curated record
AUUGUUUGAAUCAUAGAAUAUUUCAAUUUUUACAGAUAUGACAAUAAUGGCCAACUUGACUGAACCAUUAACUGUUAACACAAUGGUAGUUCUACAUGUUCAGUGAGGAAUAAAACUUUGUUAUACGGGACAAUGAGGAGAAAAUUUGAAUAUUUCAUAUUUCAUGUAAUAUAAUACAAAAGAAAUAGUGAGGGAGUGACGUCAUCAGUCCCCUCAUUUGCAUACCGCCCAGGAUGUACAUAUAAUUUUUUUGUGAAAAAGAAGCAAAACUUUAAAAUGUCAUAACUUUUUCAUAUUACAUCCGAUUUUGAUGAAAUUUUCAGUGUUUUCCUUGUUGGAUUUUUCUCUUUUUAUUCAAAUCAACUUUUUGUUGGGGUGGACUUUUCCUUUUUUAUGAUGACAUUUUACAUAGACAAGACAUAAUAUAGCAUUCACUGAGUCUUCUAAACAGAUAAACAUUUUACACAAAUUCUCCAUUUUCAGUUUUGCAGGGUUUAUUUUCAUGGAAUAUUUGAUGGAAAUGUACAUUUUCAUUGAGUCUUAAAACAAAAAAAAAGGCAUGGUGAUACAAAUAUCAAUUCAUUUAAACAAUAAACAUGUCUUAUUUUUCACAAAAUCCAAAUAAAGUGCAUCACCUUUCUGAUAUUUUGUCCUAUUUGAAUUAUGUAAUUAAUACUUGAGUUAACAAAGCCUCCCAUCUUCUAAAUGUUAUUAUCAGCAUGCCUUUUGUUCAAAACACUGAAAAGGAAUCAAAUCAGCUUUCAUAUUCACAAUCGAAUGAAAAUCUUUGUGUUAUGGGGCCUAGGGCCAGAUUUCAUAAAUGACCUAUAAAUUAUGGUAAAUCUGUCAUAGCAACUACUAUGGUAACGGGCCAAUCAAGGUUUCCAUGGUAGAUACAGAAAUAAGGAAUUUGUUUUAUUUUAUCUUAGAGAAAUGUGCCCUUGGACAAUCUAUUUGGACUAUAAUCGAUUCUGUUCAAUUGCUUACGUAACUUACGUAUGAUCAGAGUCACACUCAAAUGCUGGUGCAUGUAUAAUAUGUAACGCACAAUCUUAUUGAUUGAUACGCAGUAGUGAGCAUCCUCUUGGCAUGGUCUGACCAAUGCAGUCAUGUAUUUUAUAACACAAUGCAACUAGUUAUUUAAGUGCGACUCUAAUAAGUCAUACUUAAAUCUUUGUGAAUCACCCCCUGGUCUAAUGCCCAACUAGUCUUAUUUUCAUUUAGUCUAAUACCCAGUUGGUCUAAUUUCCACUUUGUUCACCGGUUCUUUGCUUCAUACACAGUUCAUCUAACCAUAAAAUCUAAGUGGUCUUCAUUCGAAUGGAUAUUAUACAAAACGGGUAAAGCAAAACUGAAAAUUUGACAAAAUAGUGAAUAUACUAAAUGACAAUUAGACCAAAAAUAAUAGGCACACUGGUUGUAGAUUAACUAGGAUUAGACCAUAUGUUGGAUGAGGGCAAAUGAAAAAUUUGAAAAGUGGGUGUGGACCAAGUGGCAAUUAAGCGUUUCAAUAACAUAUUUCAUGAAUUUGCUUCAAGAAAAGAAAUUGAUGAGUAUAUUUUCAUGAUUUUAGAAGUUUGAAUUCACUUUGUACAUGUAUGCCAGAAGGUGUCGUGACUGUUAAGUCACAGAACACAUAAAAUAUGUCUGCAAGGUUUUCAGGUUUUGGGAAGUGCCCAUAUACAAGGCAAGCUCUAACAUUUAUCUUAAUCAAUCACACAAUCUUCCUUUCCUGUUCUUUUUAAUCUUUUCAUUGUAUGUAAUUUUGUUGAGUUUGUGUGUAACAUAUUUAGAUCUUUACAUUGCAAUAAUACAGGAGAAAUAAUAAUACUUUAUUAAUUUCAAGGCUUGCUCACCUUGCAACCCCCCCCCCCCCCCACAAUGCAUGGUUAUUUGAGUAUUUCCCACUGCAUACAGUUUACAUGUAUAUGUAUAUAAUGCAAUGAACAGUGUUUGGUACAUACACACAGGGGGUAUAAAAUACAUCACCAAGGAUUAUUACAUAGUUUAUUUUACAAAUUAUUUACACUUUAUCUUACAAUGUAUAUGUUCAUAAAUUUAUUCAAUGUUUAUAUACAGAGCUAAGGAAAGGAAAUGGGAUUGAGAAUCGAAAUUCUUAUCUCAGAAAAUUUGGACAUGGUAAUUCUUAUUGGUGCAAUGCUCGUGGCCAAAUUUGACAAGAUACAAUAAAAUAAAAAUCGUCCUGCUGCUUUAUUUAGAAAAAAACAGAAACAUGUUUAUGACUUGAAAAUUCAGAUGCUCCUAUGAGGCAGUACAGAAGAAGAAUCUAAAAUACAUUGAUCAAAUUUCAUACAAUGGAAUGAAGAAAUAGGAUGAAGAAAUGGGAGAAGCUGAGACAAAUUGAACAGCAGGAUACAAUUCAAUAUUUCCUAACCCAUUAAAUUUUUACAAGAUCAAACAAGUACAAUUCCAUACCAAAAGUACCUAAAAUGUACUUAAACUUUCAUAUUGUUAUUACUCUUGGGGGGAGGGGGGCUAAUUUCUAGAUUAUGUACAGUACUAAUGAUAAAAGUUUUAAAAUAGGCACAAUGAAUCUCGAAUGUCAAUAAGAGGGCUAUUGAGACCAAUGCAAGGGCAUCCACAGCAAUAGCUUUCAACGGCCUUACAUGAAUUAAAACCCUGCAGUACACAUAAUAGGUAGAAGGAUUCAAUGUUUACAAAUAUUACAAUGUCACUAAAUAUAUACUAUGUACAGUGAAAUAUUCACAUAUGUCAAUUUUAAUUAUUUUACAUUUACAUUGGCAGAAGAAUUUAAAAUAAUUAUCUGCAUACCAUCCUUAUUCAGCGUGUCAAAGGUUUGCGAAACUAGGUAAACUUUUGAAACCGCAUAAGCACCAAGGGCAUAGGGGGGUGGGGUGGGUGCACUGUGUGCACAUUCACCCUCUUGCUGAGGCAGAGGAGUUCCGACACUGGCAAGCAAAACAAAAUUUGUACACUUUCUGCUUUCCACAGCUGAUAUCCCAAACUUUAGUUCCACCUUGCCAAGAUGUGCACCUCCAAUGCUCAAACCAGCCUACGCCCUUGAGCACCCAAUAUCAACGAAAUUUUCAUCAUUAUGCUUCUUAUUCCAUUGGGAGAGCUUUUCCACACAUGUCCGGUUUCAAAGGUAUUACA